GCGUCUGAUUAGCUAGUUGGUAAGGUAACGGCUUACCAAGGCGACGAUCAGUAGCCGACCUGAGAGGGUGAUCGGCCACAUUGGAACUGAGACACGGUCCAAACUCCUACGGGAGGCAGCAGUGGGGCAUAUUGCACAAUGGGCGAAAGCCUGAUGCAGCAACGCCGCGUGAGUGAUGAAGGCCUUCGGGUCGUAAAACUCUGUCCUCAAGGAAGAUAAUGACGGUACUUGAGGAGGAAGCCCCGGCUAACUACGUGCCAGCAGCCGCGGUAAUACGUAGGGGGCUAGCGUUAUCCGGAUUUACUGGGCGUAA
This 313-nucleotide ribosomal RNA is filed under the name Clostridioides difficile. Its description in RNAcentral is "bacterial SSU rRNA". It matches the Rfam family "Bacterial small subunit ribosomal RNA", at positions 233 to 563 of the family's 1533-position model. Lineage: Bacteria; Bacillati; Bacillota; Clostridia; Peptostreptococcales; Peptostreptococcaceae. The record is from RNAcentral.